GACGAACGCUGGCGGCGUGCUUAACACAUGCAAGUCGAACGGAAAGGCCCUGCUUUUGUGGGGUGCUCGAGUGGCGAACGGGUGAGUAACACGUGAGUAACCUGCCCUUGACUUUGGGAUAACUUCAGGAAACUGGGGCUAAUACCGGAUAGGAGCUCCUGCUGCAUGGUGGGGGUUGGAAAGUUUCGGCGGUUGGGGAUGGACUCGCGGCUUAUCAGCUUGUUGGUGGGGUAGUGGCUUACCAAGGCUUUGACGGGUAGCCGGCCUGAGAGGGUGGCCGGCCACAUUGGGACUGAGAUACGGCCCAGCCUCCUCCGGGAGGCAGCAGUGGGGAAUAUUGCACAAUGGGCGGAAGCCUGAUGCAGCCCCGCCGCGUGCGGGAUGACGGCCUUCGGGUUGUAAACCGCUUUCGCCUGUGACGAAGCGUGAGUGACGGUAAUGGGUAAAGAAGCACCGGCUAACUACGUG
RNAcentral lists this ribosomal RNA (468 nucleotides) under uncultured bacterium. RNAcentral's name for it is "partial 16S ribosomal RNA". It matches the Rfam family "Bacterial small subunit ribosomal RNA", at positions 28 to 507 of the family's 1533-position model. The record is from RNAcentral.